GACGAACGCUGGCGGCGUGCCUAAUACAUGCAAGUUGAGCGAUGAAGCUUGGUGCUUGCACCAAUUUGAAGAGCAGCGAACGGGUGAGUAACGCGUGGGGAAUCUGCCUUUGAGCGGGGGACAACAUUUGGAAACGAAUGCUAAUACCGCAUAACAACUUUAAACAUAAGUUUUAAGUUUGAAAGAUGCAAUUGCAUCACUCAAAGAUGAUCCCGCGUUGUAUUAGCUAGUUGGUGAGGUAAAGGCUCACCAAGGCGAUGAUACAUGGCCGACCUGAGAGGGUGAUCGGCCACAUUGGGACUGAGACACGGCCCAAACGCCUACGGGAGGCAGCAGUAGGGAAUCUUCGGCAAUGGACGAAAGUCUGGCCGAGCAACGCCGCGUGAGUGAAGAAGGUUUUCGGAUCGUAAAACUCUGUUGGUAGAGAAGAACGUUGGUGAGAGUGGAAAGCUCAUCAAGUGACGGUAACUACACAGAAAGGGACGGCUAACUACGUG
This 497-nucleotide ribosomal RNA is filed under the name uncultured bacterium. RNAcentral describes it as "partial 16S ribosomal RNA". It matches the Rfam family "Bacterial small subunit ribosomal RNA", at positions 28 to 507 of the family's 1533-position model. The record is from RNAcentral.